AGGGGUAUAGCUCAGCGGUAGAGCGCGUGCUUGGCAUGCACAAGGUCCUGGGUUCAAUCCCCAAUGCCUCUG
This 72-nucleotide transfer RNA is filed under the name Camelus bactrianus (Bactrian camel). It matches the Rfam family "tRNA". Rfam says of the family: Transfer RNA (tRNA) molecules are approximately 80 nucleotides in length. Their secondary structure includes four short double-helical elements and three loops (D, anti-codon, and T loops). RNAcentral also lists the same sequence under 2 other names. The record is from Rfam by way of RNAcentral. Lineage: Eukaryota; Metazoa; Chordata; Mammalia; Artiodactyla; Camelidae.